AACGAACGCUAGCGGCGUGUUUGAUUCAUGCAAGUCGAGCGAGAAAGCUCCUUCGGGAGCAAGUACAGCGGCGGACUGCUGAGUAAUACACAGGUAACCAACCCGCGAGACCGGAAUAACUUCGCGAAAGCGAGGCUAAUGCCGGAUAUUAUGCUCGACCGCCUGGUUGAGUAUGAAAUGGUUUCCCUUCGGGGUUUCCGCUCACGGACGGGCCUGUGGCCUAUUAGCUUGUUGGUGGGGUAACGGCCCACCAAGGCUGAGAUGGGUAGCCGGCCUGAGAGGGCGAUCGGCCAGACUGGGACUGAGACACUGCCCAGACUCCUACGGGAGGCAGCAGAGGAGAAUCAUCCGCAAUGGGCGCAAGCCUGACGGUGCGACGCCGCGUGGACGAUGAAGGCCUUCGGGUUGUAAAGUCCUGUCAGAGGCCCAUGAAAGUGGGCCGGUGAAUAACCGGUUCUUUGACCAGCCUCAAAGGAAGUCCGGCUAACUUCGUGCCAGCAGCAGCGGUAAUACGGAGGGACCCAGCGUUGUUCGGAAUUACUGGGCAUAAAGGGUGUCUAGGCGGAUCGAUAAGUCGGGUAUGAAAGCCCUGGGCUCAACUCAGGAACUGUGCCCGAUACUGUCGGCCUUGAGUGCAGAAGGGGAGAGUGGAACUCCUGGUGUAGCGGUGAAAUGCGUUGAUAUCAGGAUGAACGCCGGUGGCGAAAGCGACUCUCUGGUCUGCUACUGACGCUGAAGCACGAAAGCUAGGGGAGCGAACGGGAUUAGAUACCCUGGUAGUCCACGCCGUAAACGAUGGGAACUAGGUGUAGCGGGUAUUGAUCCCUGCUGUGCCGGAGUUAACGCAUUAAGUUCCCCGCCUGGGGAGUACGGUCGCAAGGCUA
This 884-nucleotide ribosomal RNA is filed under the name uncultured Planctomycetota bacterium. Its description in RNAcentral is "bacterial SSU rRNA". It matches the Rfam family "Bacterial small subunit ribosomal RNA", at positions 28 to 896 of the family's 1533-position model. The record is from RNAcentral. Lineage: Bacteria; Pseudomonadati; Planctomycetota.